Molecule: ribosomal RNA, 228 nt
Filed under: uncultured bacterium
Lineage: Bacteria
Description: partial 16S ribosomal RNA
Rfam family: Bacterial small subunit ribosomal RNA
Source: RNAcentral
UCCGUAGGCGGGCUAAUAAGUCAGGGGUGAAAUCCCACAGCUUAACUGUGGAACUGCCUUUGAUACUGUUAGUCUUGAGUUAUAUGGAAGUAGAUAGAAUGUGUAGUGUAGCGGCGAAAUGCAUAGAUAUUACACAGAAUACCGAUUGCGAAGGCAGUCUACUACGUAUAUACUGACGCUAAUGGACGAAAGCGUGGGGAGCGAACAGGAUUAGAUACCCUGGUAGUC